This 578-nucleotide ribosomal RNA is filed under the name uncultured bacterium. Its description in RNAcentral is "partial 16S ribosomal RNA". The record is from RNAcentral.
GAAAAUAAAUUUCCAACGUCUAACACACAUCGUUUACGGCAUGGACUACGAGAGUAUCUAAUCCUCUUCGCUACCCAUGCUUUCGUUCCUCAGUGUCAGUAAUGAUCCAGAAAGCUGCCUUCGCAAUUGGUAUUCUUUCUAAUAUCUACGAAUUUCACCUCUACACUAGAAAUUCUGCUUUCCUCUAUCAUACUCUAGCUGAAAAGUUUUGAUGGCAGUUCCAGAGUUAAGCUCUGGGAUUUCACCACCAACUUUUUCAACCACCUACGAACUCUUUAAGCCCAGUAAUUCCGAACUACGCUAGGUCCCUUCGUAUUACCGCGGCUGCUGGCACGAAGUUAGCCGGACCUUCUUAUUCGGGUACAGUCAUUUUCUUCCCCGACGAAAGAGCUUUACAACCCAAAGGCCUUCUUCACUCACGCGGCAUCGCUGCAUCAGAGUUUCCUCCAUUGUGCAAGAUUCCCCACUGCUGCCUCCCGUAGGAGUUUGGGCCGUGUCUCAGUCCCAAUGUGGCUGAUCAUCCUCUCAAAUCAGCUAUUGAUCAUAGUCUUGGUAGGCCAUUACCCUACCAACAAACU